This is an RNA transcript of Amblyraja radiata (thorny skate), 5948 nucleotides long. It is a transcript of the gene named centrosomal protein 104, with no coding region annotated. The record is from RefSeq and is a predicted model, not a curated record. NCBI's taxonomy places the organism in Eukaryota, Metazoa, Chordata, Chondrichthyes, Rajiformes, Rajidae. The transcript has 23 exons.
GCGCAGUACCCGCUGUUGCUGGCGGUGGUUAUGGAGAUGCGGUGCGUGGCGGAGGCCGCGGCGUUGGCGCCGACAGCGGGACACGGACCGCGACCGCUCGGCUGCGGGGUCGCGGCGCCACAAGGCAGGCAGCACUCCUGCAAGUGCAAAACGAUAAGAUGGUGUGCGGCCAAAGGCUAUUUUACCAGUUGCUGAAAGCUUAACUCCAGAAUGCCCCAUAAAAUUGGAUUUGUUGCUAUAAGCUCAUCUGGCCAUGAAGAUGGCUAUAAUUCAAAUGAACUGAUGGUGCAUGCACCAACAGUUAAUGGCUGGCGGUCACCAAGGUUCUGCCUCUACCCACAGGAGAUUGUCCUACAAAUGGUGGAACGUUGUAGGAUUCGCAAACUUCAGUUACUUGCACAUCAGUACUUGAUUUCUACAAAAAUUGAAUUUUACAUCAGUGAAAGUCUUCCAGAUCACUUUGGGUCUCAGCAUGUGGACAGAUUCCGUAGACUUGGGUACGUUUCUCUGUCGGAUAAUCAGAAAACAGCGUUCAAAGCCCGAGAACUUAAGUCUGUUCACGUUGAUGCCGUUGGGAAAUAUCUAAAAUUAACAUUCCAUAAAAAUCAUGUCAAUAGAUACAACUUGUAUAACCAGGUAGCAUUGGUGGCUGUAAAUAUCCUUGGAGACCCAGUGGAUUACAAGGAGACUUUUAUAACUCCCACUAAAGACAAAUUGAUUGAUCAUUACCUUGGAUGUAGCCCAGAUGAUCCAGCACUCGAUGGAACUUACAUUGGUAAGUCAGAGGUUAUCUCGCCCUUGGAUGACCUAGCCUUUGAUAUGUACCAAGAUCCUGAGGUGGCCCAAAUAAUACGUAAAUUAGAUGAAGAAAAACAUGAAGCAGUUAAGCUUGAGCGCUAUGACUUUGCAAAGAAACUUAAACAAGCUAUUGCUGAUCUUCAGAAGGUAGGUGAACGUCUAGGCCGUUAUGAGGUGGAAAAACGAUGUGCAAUAGAGAAAGAGGACUAUGAUCUGGCAAAGCAGAAGAAACUGCAAAUGGAUGAUUAUAGGAUGAAAGUUUACAAGCAAUUGGAGCUACAUAACCUUUUAGACAUGGGAAUGAUUCGAAAGUUUCCUGAGUUUCCUCUUGAACCAAUGGAUCACCCCAGUAGGCUUCAACAGGAACAGAAAGUUCUGGAAGUGGAAUCCAAUCGGCUAUCUGAGAAAGUCCAUCUGCAAGAAAUGCCUCAAGCAAAUUCCAAACUACAACACCGAACUGCUGGAAAGCCAAAGUGGUCUCCUACACCACAGCCUUCUCCUGCACCACCUGUCAGGCUACCUUCUCCAAGGGUGGAUACUGGCUCGCUUCCUUAUGAUGAGAGACCACUCCCAGCUCAAAGCAAGCCUUCAGAAUUGGGCAGUGUUUCCCAACAAGAAAGUAAUGAGAUGCCUGCUGUAAACACAGACACUUCACCUACAUCAGGAAGUGGUAUCGCUGGAGAACCAGAGCCCUUAACUGAGAAAGCUUUCAGAGAAGCUAGUUUCGCCAUUGAUUUAUUUGGAGAGGCACUGGUGGCUGGUGCCUAUUCAAAAACUUGGUCGUACAGGGAAGAUGCUUUGCUGGCUGUUUAUAAAAAGCUUUCCACUGUUUCUGAUGAUAUUUCCAAGGACGAGUUAAAGAAUAUGCUACGAGCUGCAAUCUUCCUUGUUCGUAAAGCUAUUAAAGACAAAGUGUCAUCGGUUUUCCAAGCAUCUCUGAAGUUACUAAAAAUGCUGAUAACUCAGUUUGCUCCCAAACACAAGCUGGGCAAAGUUGAAAUUGCUCAUUGUGUUGAGAAAACGUUACCCAUCCUCCUCAGUAAGACUGGAGAUGCAACAACACAUCUUCGAGUGGCAGCAAUGAAUUUCAUACAAGAAAUGGCAUUGCUGAAAGAAGUACGGCCACUUCAUAUAAUCCCACCGCAGCUGAUGCAGCCCCUGAAACCACAGGUUGCAGUCCGCUUGGUAUUGAAUCAAAUUGAAUUGGUGGAGCGUUUACUGAAGGAGUUGGGCACAGAUAAUAGUGGUUUCACCAUAGACAAUGUCAUGAAGUUUACAGCAGAAGCUUUGGAACACUCUGCUUCCGAAGUCCGAGACACUGCUGUGCGGAUUAUCUUUAACAUGUAUCGACGUCAUGGGAAUGUGAUUUUGCACUAUCUUCCACCUGAUGUUGCAAAUAUUCGUAAGAAUGUGCUAUACAAAUCACUUUUUGAUGGGUUUGCAAAAAUAGACGGGAGGCCAACAGAAGCUGAACAACGAGCACAUAAAAAAGCAGUGGCAGAAGAGGCAGAGAAGCGGAAGAAGGAAGAAAUACGAGCUCUUCAGGAACAGCUGGCGGCAUUGAGAGAAAUACAGGCAGAAGUCCAGGCUGAAAAGGUGUAUAAACAUGACUUAACAAGGGGAAGGAUGUCGAGAACAGCAAACAUUCUAAAACAGAACAGGGAACAAAAGUUCCUGCUUCUCAGCCAGAGAUACCGUUUGAACAGUCCACAGUUGCUGAUUAUUUGGAUAAUUUAUGCAUAUUCUGUGGGGAGAGGAAUGAAAUGUUUACGGAUGAAGGCUUGGACAUCCAUUACUGGAAGCACUGUCCAAUGUUGAGACGGUGUGAGCAUUGCAAACAAGUGGUAGAAAUAGCCAGUCUCACUGAGCACAGGCUAACCGAGUGUGAUAAAAAAGAUAGCUUUGGGAAGUGUCAGCGCUGUAAUGAGGCAAUAGCAAAAGAGGAUCUCCAGGAACAUCUGAAGACGAAGAACUGCAAUGCCGCCAAGCCUGAGAAAAUUGCCAAUCACUGUCCACUCUGCCAUGAAAAUUUCCAGCCAGGAGAGGAGCCCUGGAAAGUGCAUCUCAUGGGAAGAGACGGCUGUAAAAUGAACCCCCGCAGAAUGCAGACGUUACAGAGGACCCAGCAACUCCAACAAGCAAAACCAGGAACUCUGGCUACUUCUCGGCCAGGUCCCACAGGAAUUAAAGGCCGUUCUCCAACAACCACCAGCAGAAUCCCUGCACCAAGAGCAGGGUUAAACAAAACAACAAGCAGAACUCUAAAUCGUCGAUGAAUUUACUCUCGAUAGGACAAGCAGCGAGUCUAUUGUAACCUCUGCACCAUCGAUUCAAAACAUAUGGUCUGCUCUGCCAUUUGUGAGAACACACAGGACUAAAAUCCCAAUAUCAUCAAUAACAGGUGAAAGAUUGUUAUGAUGAAGAUAAAGAACCUUGGACUUAUUUUGAAGUUCUAUCAAACAUCCACUCAAGCCAGAUUCUAACUUAAUUAUUUAAUGAACUCCACUCGUACAAAGAAAAAAUGGAGUUCAGUAAAUUAGUUUUUUCUGUUACAGACAUGUGCCUGGAAACCAUGAGCAGAACAUUAGAAAGAGAAUAAUGCACUGAAUUCUGUUUUAACAGAAAUGUUUGCUUGUAGAAUUUACAAUAUUUUUCUGUUGCCUACUGUUCACUCAACAAUUUCAGCCAAGAAUGGAAUCGGACAGCUGCGGAGUAAUCAUUUGUAGGAAUCCUUAGAGUGCAGUAUUAAAAAAAAUACAUGUAUGCAAUCAUUCCCUUUUAAAUUUUGUGCACGCCUGAACAGAUGACUAGGGCAACUAUUGUAUUUGCAGAAAUCUUAUAAUUUGUAUGAAUUGCUUUAUCUUGAAAAUUAGCUAUUUUUCAAAGUGAAGGGACAUUUAUAUGCACAUAUUCGAGUAGCAUUAAGGGAUGAAGAUUAUCAUGACCAGAUAAAUCAUUCAUUUUUGGGGGCUGACUGAAAGCAAGUACUGUCACUUACUAUAAACGCCUUCAGUGAAGUAGGUUGUGUAGCAAACAAAUCAUGUAAUAAAUCUGGCAAUGGCUUCCGCAAAUUUGACAUGGGAGUUCAAUUUGAGAUGGAUUGAGAAAAGCUAGGCAACGGGACUCUCAUUGCAGCUCUUUCAUGCAUCUCUCGUGCAAAUGUCUGGUUGCUUUUACUGUAUGAAUAGAUUCAUUUACAGUAAAGUGACUUAACUUUGCUUAUGUAAACAUUUGACAAGGAAAAUAUUGAUGGUAAAAUGCAUUGGGGAGAUCCAUGAACUAAAAGAAAACGCAGCAUUUCUAGUUUAAUGUUUUGAUGUUAAAUAAUUGCCUAGGUGGAGCACAUAAUGAAACAUCAAUUGAAAAGGGAUACACACGUAUAAUUCACCUGAUUUUUCCAUUCAUUUAAGUUGCUCAGAUAGUUAAUGUAAUGAUUGGAAUAUGUACUCAAAUUCUAUAAUCUUAACAUAAUUGCUGAAAAUUAACUAAUUGAAAUCCUUAAUACCCUAUGUCUUCAUCAAAUGUGCACUUGUUUAAAGAUGUUGAACCCCACCCAGUUCUUCCUGGAUUGGUGGGUUGUGUUGAAUGCAAUGUUUAUAUUGAAAUAUUUAUCAAACAAAAAAAACUAUCCUUUUAAAUUUUUUUAUUUUUUUUAGACUAGUACAAAUGGAUACUGAGACUUUUAUUCAGACCCAGGGUUAGAGCAAGAUUUAGUCCGAAGUUGUCAAAAGUAGGAAAGUAGUAUCCAUAUUAAGUAUUGGAAGUGCAGUGAAAAAUGUCAACAUUUGAAAAUCACCAUCUCAAAAUUUAUCAUGAAUCAUUGGACUCGGCACGUGAAUAUUUCCUUUAAAUUUUAAGCUAGAUCAUUAGUCACAAAAUCAGAUUUGGUCAAAAAUGCUAAGAGUGAAAAUAGAAUAAGAAUUUUCAGCUGUGCUGCCUAAAUUUCUGUAUCACACAGUGCAGUUAAGCCUUAUUUCGCUGAUUUUAAAUUUAAAUUGUCAGAACAAUAUUCAGCAUGUGAAAGUUGCAUAAAAUCUUGGUUAAUCUGAUUUAGUCUUGUUUUGCUUUAAAUGCAUAGUUUCAGAGUAUUUAAGAUCAUUGCGCAAACUAUUGUUGAGCUUAUAAAAAAUGUAAUAUUAAUGCUUAAUCACUGUGGUUCAGUAGUUGGAGGAAUUGAGCUAAUUUGUCCCAGAUUCUAUUGAUGUAUUUAUCUUGAUCAAAAAAUAUUGAAUGUAUAUUUUAGAGAUGCAGCUGUAUAUAUGUCAAAAAUAUCUAGUUUUGUAUUUAUUACACUUUCCUGUAACAUAUUUAAUCCAUUUUCGUUAUUGGAUUUGAUUCAAUCCUUCAAAUGGUUUCUGUGUGAUCAUACACAUAGCUUUUUUUUAAACACACUGCAGAUGAUGUGUAAAAGCUUUUUCUUUAUUUUUCUUUGCAAUUCUUCUCUCUCUCUCUUUCUCUUUUUCAUGGCUGCUUGUCACUGUCUGGUAACAAUUUCUCAUGUCCGCCUGAGUGGUAAGUAUCAGCAAGCUAUUUCCAAGAGGACAAAUAUCACAAACCAAUCCCAAUCAUGUCAUCAAUCAUUUUCCAUGUCUAUACUUCCAAUAAUGAUUCCUAACCAAUGCCUAGAGUUGGCUGCCUGACUAAUCUAUCACUAUAAACGAGGAAAGAUAAGGCCAACUAUAAAAUUCCUGCUCAACAAAGAUGAUUAUUUUUGCAGAACUUCAGCAGUUUGAUUACUACAUAAACAGUGAAGGUCAACUUCCAGGCCUAAAACCAUUCUACAGUCCCCAAAAUGAGUAAUGCACAAUACAGCAUACCCUCUUGAUUUAUCCUCCCAUUACUUGUGAAAGGAUAUGCCUGUGAGAAUGUCUAACUGAGAUUUCAAAUACGCAACAUCCCUAGCAUACUAUGAUAUGUCGUGAAAAUCUGCAAUUGAAAGAAAAUUUACAACCAGCAAGGUUAAAAAAAAAAGUAUAACUUUGCACUAAAGUUGCAUAGAAUGACACUUUGAGUCAUGGCAGUUGGAGAAGUUGAAUUAAUUCAUUGUGUAAGCAAAGCUUGCGUGAAUAAUUUUCUUCCCCAUCAAAUACUGAAUGUCUGCCAGAUAUGUAGCAACAAUUCAGGAAUAUUAUUAAACAAAAUUGAACUGA